This 253-nucleotide ribosomal RNA is filed under the name uncultured bacterium. Its description in RNAcentral is "partial 16S ribosomal RNA". It matches the Rfam family "Bacterial small subunit ribosomal RNA", at positions 524 to 776 of the family's 1533-position model. The record is from RNAcentral.
GACGUAGGGCGCGAGCGUUGUCCGGAUUUAUUGGGCGUAAAGAGCUCGUAGGCGGCUUGUCGCGUCGUCCGUGAAAACUUGGGGCUCAACCCCAAGCUUGCGGUCGAUACGGGCGGGCUAGAGUUCGGUAGGGGAGACUGGAAUUCCUGGUGUAGCGGUGAAAUGCGCAGAUAUCAGGAGGAACACCGGUGGCGAAGGCGGCAUCCUGGACCGGCAUUGACGCUGAGGCGCGAAAGCCAGGGGAGCAAACGGG